AAGUUUAAACAUGAAAAUUUCAACCCACAAUUGAAAAAGAAUACUCAUCCUCUUUCCGUGAGUUUUCAGUUUUCACUCAUAGGUUGAUCAUUGAAGUAAUUGCGUGAAUUCAUUUCCACCUUAGAGAAAGAGAAUCCUUCACCACUUCAACGUAAUUUAUCAAAUAUUCAUUCAUUCAAGUUCAAAUGCGCUACUACCACAUUAUUAGAAAUCUACGCGCUCCCUUUUGCUCCCAUUCUUCUCCUUUUACGUCAUCAUCUUCCACCCAUUCCAAACCAGAUGUCAAUUCCAUCCUCACAAGCCUUAACCUUCAACAAAACCCUGAUUCAGAUGAGUAUUUUGAAGGGGUUUUUCGGCAGAUUUCUUCUGUUUUCUACGGUGGUCAGUCAGUCCAGGAAGCUUAUUCUGAAGAAAUUGAUGCCACAAAUGAGUUUGAAAAAAUAAUAAAUAUAUCGCAGUUGCCAAACUCACUUCAAAGCAAUAUAGCAUUGCGAAGGAAAGAGGCUUCUCGUGAAAAGAAAAGAACAUGCAUAUUCAAUACUAAUCAAGACCAACGUUUCCGCCGCAUAAUUGAAAGCUGUGGGAAGAUACUAGGAACUGAGGCUACCCUUGAGUUGUUUGAUAAAGUUGAACGAAAACCAGGCGUGACAGGAUACAAUGCAUUGGUAAAAAUAUGCAUAGGUAAAGCUAGGGAAGCUGAGAAUAAAGACAUUGCAAUUGAAGAGAUGGGGAAGGUUUUUCACCUUUUUGAGUUAAUGAGGGGACAAGGUUUAGAGCUCGAAGAACAAACAUAUCGCCCACUUCUUAUGUAUACAAUUGACAUGAGAUUGGUUGAAGAGUUUCAGUUUUUCUGUCAGGUUAUCAAAGAUGAGAAUCCCAGUUCAACUGCAAGACUGGGUUACUAUGAAAUGCUGAUGUGGUUAAAAGUUAAUGAUGAAGAAAAGAUUCAAAGUCUUUGUGAUUAUAUUGCAGAGAAUGAUGGCGAGGAAACUUUUGAUUUACGAGAAAGUUAUUUAUUGGCUCUUUGUGAGAGUGAAAGGAAGGAGAAUAUUUUGGAGGUGUUGGAAAUCAUGGACAUUAAAAAGCUUUCAUCUGUUGACUCUGUGGCAAAGAUAUUUCAGGCAUUGGGAAGACUAUCAUUGGAACCUGUUGCGGAGAAACUCUUUUUUGAUUACAAAACAAGUGAUCAUGAAGAAGAUAGUAUGACAAACUUCAUUGCUAGUUAUGCAAUCAGCGUUCCAGACUUACGGGUUGAGGAUGUCAUAAAAAAGUUCAAGGAUUUUCACGAAAAACUAGAAGUUUUACCUUCUUCCUCAUCAUAUAACAAACUCAUUUUACAUGGCUGUGCUUUGCUCAAGAAACACACUUGUUCCGAUGAGGGGUUCGAUCAAUUGCUUCUGCUCCUUGAGGAACUAAACAGUACAAGCUAUUGGAACGAUGCUUGCUGCAGAAUCAUAUUGUGUUGUAUUUGGAAUAAGCGUUUAAGAGCUUCUAUCGACUUGUGUAAGCUCCUCAAGGAUAAGUUGCAAAUCGAUGAAUUGGUAAUGAAAAUUCUCUUUGAUAAGGUAUUUUCUCUAAUUGAAGAGUCGGAGUCGAAACAUAUGCAAACUGCCAUGGAGUUUAUUUCAGAAAUGAAGGAUAAGCUUGGCCUUUUGCCUUCACAAAAAUGUUAUGAUUCUCUGCUUGCUGCAUGGUGCAAAGCAAACGACAAUUCUUAUAAUGCUGAAUGAGGCUCCUCAAUAAAAGAGUGUAUAUGCAGUGUUCAUAACUUUGCUACUAACAAAAAACAUUAGGUGCUGAUGGAGUACAUACUAAUUGGUUCCAUAAAUAAUUUCUACAAAUUGUUCUACAUAACUAAUACCCUUCACACCUUAAAAAAGUUAAAAUAUCCAUUUAUUUGAUGUCAAAAUUUAAGAUGGUGUCAUAAAUUAUCCUAAAGUUUGAUAUUUCUUCAAGUAUUAUGAUAAGUUGAACCUAAUGUUGUUUUAUGACAAAUGUGAAAUGACAACAUAACCGGUUAG
RNA transcript from Vicia villosa (hairy vetch), 2021 nucleotides. It is a transcript of the gene named pentatricopeptide repeat-containing protein At4g04790, mitochondrial-like, with no coding region annotated. The record is from RefSeq and is a predicted model, not a curated record. NCBI's taxonomy places the organism in Eukaryota, Viridiplantae, Streptophyta, Magnoliopsida, Fabales, Fabaceae. The transcript has 10 exons.